Long non-coding RNA from Bombyx mori (domestic silkworm), 628 nucleotides. RefSeq lists it as uncharacterized. The transcript is spliced from 2 exons. NCBI's taxonomy places the organism in Eukaryota, Metazoa, Arthropoda, Insecta, Lepidoptera, Bombycidae. The record is from RefSeq and is a predicted model, not a curated record.
CAAACCGGUAGGGUUUAAACAAAGGUUGAGCGGUUAACAAGUCAUCAUAAUGACACAGUUAUUCUAUGUCACUUCAUUUAAAAAGAAAAAAAAAAUCACUCAGUUUGACAGUUCGCUUUCCCGCCAACAAAGAUCGUAAAGUAAGUCCCAGGCACCAUUAUUAUUGUCAAAAUUGGAUACUUUUCAUAAUAUAAAGUGUGUUUAAAUAACUCGACAAUGUUCCAUGUGUAGCUAUAACACGGCACUGGCAGAAAUUGCUGAAAGUAUCGACAGGUCGCCAUUAAAAAAAAAAAAAAGGUCGUAAACAUCAAAACAUGAAAUAUGACAAAAUUAAAUGUACACAAGCCAGGAUGAACGUUUGUUUCGCGGUAAUAAUAAUUUAAUUUAUAACUCCGGUUAAUUUCGGCAUGUUCAUUACGAUCACAAGUCGUCGUGGCCUAAAGGAUAAGACGCCCGGUGUAUUCGUAUCGACUGAUGCGACCGUGCCGGUGUUCGAAUCCCGCAAACAGAAUCAUCAUUUGGAUCAUUUAUGUUCGUGUUAAUCAACACACAGUGCAUCAGCUGAAUCAAAUUACGUUUCUCUAAUCAAAAUGUGAUGGAUACAAUAAAUAAACGUAAAAGUUCCACA